Polypterus senegalus (gray bichir) is the source of this 7464-nucleotide long non-coding RNA. RefSeq lists it as uncharacterized. Lineage: Eukaryota; Metazoa; Chordata; Cladistia; Polypteriformes; Polypteridae. The transcript is spliced from 9 exons. The record is from RefSeq and is a predicted model, not a curated record.
ACUUAUUGCUAGUGUCUCAGAGGAUGUGCAGCAUUGCUAGUAAUGGCUAUCAGUUUUGUCUUCUUCCUCUUCUUUGCUACUACCACCAGUGGGACUGGAAUGCAUCCUAUAAUUGAGCUUGCCUUGUUAGUUAGCUUGUUUAUUUGGUGGGCCUCUCUUGAAGUGAUUUUAGCGGUCCAGCACACUACAGUGGCUAUCACAGAGUCAUAGAACAUAUAAAGGAUGUCACAACCCACUUUUAAAAGAGGCUGUCUCCUGUUAAAAAACCAAAACCAAAAAACACAGUACUUGUAACAAUGCAUCACCUUCACAUCCACUCCAGAAUAGUGAAUAGGCUGUUUGGUGUAGCACAAAUUAAUAAAUAGUUCCUUGGUUUUGCACCUAACUCCUAUACUCUGUCUCAUCCACCUUGUCAGCACACUUCAUUAAGUUUAUUGGGCACUUCACAUAUCCACUCUUAAUAUUCUGUUCCCAAAGGAGGCGGUGCAGUAUCAACAUCUGAUAUAAAUGGCAAUAAUUGCCAGCGUCACUGCAGAACAUGGUGAAGUGUAUGGGAAAGAACUGGAGAUCACAAAGACUAUCACCGCCAUUUUUAAGCAAUAUGGAAAGCAUUGGCUGCAGCUCUAUCAAAAAUACUGAGCCUAAAUGACAUGCCUUCAGAGUUGUAUUAAAUGCAACGGCUGAUGCUAUAUUUUUGUAGUAUUGUAAUAGUGAGUUUUGAAAUGUGCAGACAACUAAUAUUCUAUGUAUUGCAUACUUUUUACUGUCAAAAGUUCCCUUUCUGAUACUAAAUGACAAAAUUCAGCUGUUCUUUGGAGAAGUUCUACAAAACCUUCAAUUUGGAAUUUUUAGUGGGAAAGCAGCGUUUAUCCAGGUUGAACUUUUAUCUUUUUCCAGUUUCAGACAGUAAACAUGGACUUGUAUGAACUGCUCAACUAACUGGCUGAAAUUCUGAACUGACUUUACUAGAAUUGCUUAAUUUGGUUAGGGUUUAACAAUUUGACUUGGUUUUGUUAAAUUUGAUUAAGAUUUAAUAAUUGAUUGUCUUUCUAUUUGAUAAAAAGUUCAAUUAUUUUAAUGGUGUAUUUGUAUAUUAUUUACUAUGUAUUUAAAGUAUAGUUUACAAUUAGCCACGUUACCGGUUGAAGAUUCUGUAGGUAAUAGAAUAAUUUCAAAAAAUUUUAAUUUGAUUUCUCUUGUUUUAUGUGUACCUUCAGCAACUUUUUUCUGUGUGAUUGUAUGUCUGAACCUCCCUUGACCAGUUCUCCUUCGCUUAAGUGCAUUCCCAUAAAGCCUGAUUCUCAUUUCAAGGGGUCCAGUUCAAUUCCUGUCCGCUUUUGCACUUCCUGUCUUCAAAAGCAACUCUGUGUGCCUCAUACGUGUUUACUCCUUCUCACGUGUCUCACAAUCACAAAAGCCAAACUGACCAAUCAUAUUGCUUGCAUGGACUGGACAACCACACAGAUCAGUGAUUGUGUUUAAUUAUAUAAGUAGAUACAGAUAACAAGGAGGAAUGCCUCAGCACUCACAAAAUGAGCAUGCCUAGUAGACAGGAGAAAUAAACAAAGACAAUAACGUUGAGAGACGGUCUUCUGUUCCGUCUGUUCUAAGCUGCUUUGAGUAUGCCUUUAGAGAGGCAAUAUAACUAAAAACAUGCCAACGGGACAGAAAUUAAGACCAUUUAAAACUGCGGUAGCUGAAAGAGUCCAGUUAGUUUUCCAUAUUAUUACAGUCCUUGACUGGGAUUUGAUCCCAGGCACCCUGAGAUAAGCAGUAUCAUUAUGAUCUAGUGUAUCACCCAGAUCUAACAGAGCAUUACUAUAUUACUUGUUUAUUUUGGUCAUACAUCUCUUUUUCCAACCAAAUAUUUAUUUCUUAUCAAAAAAAAUGCCCAUUUUCUAGUUCACUGAACUUAAUUUAGAACUUAAUUUCCUUUAUUUGGCUGACAUCUUUAUCAAUGGUGACUUACAACAUUUGAGAGGUAAAACUGGUUACAUUUCUUUUGUGCUGUGACUUGCUUAUAGUCACACAGUGUCAUUAGGCAGAUUUGAACACAAAUUUCAUUUGAAGUCCAAAGCUUUAACCACUACGCCACAUGGACAGCUACUAUAUACAUAGAGCUGUAGGAGGCCCGUAAUGAACUAUUAAACAGGAACAAGCCAUAAAUUCAAAACCACUUACACCUCAACAAACACAGCAGGGAAAUUUCGAAAUGGCAGGCAGCCUAACAGUAGGAGGAAACCCUAAAACAGACCUCAACAUAUAUAUUGCUCCCUGUGAUGCAGCAGAGCCUGCAGUGAAAGAUGUCUGUUAGCUCUGCUGGGAAAUUAUUGCAAAAUGUGAGCAGUUUCAUUGUGCCGAUAACUUUAUUUCUAACACCCUCUGAUGGACAUUUCAGCUGCACAUGAACAUUAGACAUAACCUAAAUGAACUGCAAACCACUAAACUUUUGUGUCUGUCUGGCCUGAUGGAGUUUUCAUCUCUUAGAUCCACAUGACUCCAUAGAGCUUGUGACUUAUUGUGGAAAGAAUGCAUGUGCUUAGUGUGCAGCACAUUUCUCCUUCAAUGCUGCUGUGGCCUAUUAGCCUGUUUUAUUUCAGCUGACAGCAGCUACUUAAAAAAUUGGAACUGGCCUGACAAUGUCAUUUGGUGCAAUUCGUUAACUAUUAAGUCAUGCAGGAGAUGUAAAGGCAGCUGAAAAGGCUGUUCCACUGGCAGGCCGUCCCGCCUCUUAGGGAGAUAUUUGGUGUUGAUUGUUCAUUAUUUGUAUGUAAGGUGUCUCCAUUUAGACUCUGAUCGACCUGUGUCAAUCUACAAUGAGAGGUAAUGGGAGACUGAAAUGUUUGAACAUGCAUUCCCUGCAAAGUCCUUAAAAUUAAUGCAUGUAGUUUAAAAAGUAAGUAAGAAUAAACACCUCAGUGUGAAAAUGCUGAUCAAGGACAGCCCUAGAAUCAGCAUGUGUGGAAUAUGGUAAUAUUUCAAGGACGACGAUAUUGAAUGGGUUCAAAAAGCAGCAACACACCUGAGUUCAGUGAAGAUUAGUUAUUGGGAUAAAGCUGUUUAAUCCAGUCCAAAGUUGUGGGUGUUAUGUUACAGCCUGGGUUUAUUGUGAUAAUUCAUGCACACCAUCUCACUUGCACCAAUCAUAUUGUUGGGUAUCUUGCACUUCAUAAGUGAGGAUAAACCAGGGUGAGAGAGACACACACAAAAAUAAUUGAUGGUAAAAAAAGUAGUUCUUAAUUAAAGCCAGGUGAUAGCAAAAAUAUCAAAGGUAUUCAAAAUUGAAGUUCAUUAAAAAUCAAUCCGAAACCAUUUUUCCAGGUGAAUAAGUCAAAAUUAUAAAAACAAGAAAAAUCAAAAUCAGAAAAAACACAACAGUCACUCUAAUCCUUUACUUUCAUUCCUCAACAAGCUGUUUGAGAAACCAAAGCGUUUUCAAAAGAAAAACUAAACAAUGAAAAAUAAAGCCAUAUCCAGUUCACCCAAUUAACUCCAUUCUAACCUCUAAGGAUAGUAAAGAGUCCCUGGCACUCUCUCUUUUUCCCUUUCAAUUGCUCAGAAGUACUUUGAUACACACUCCAAUGACAACAGACCCAAAAGCAAAAAGAUAACCACUAAUGGCUGAUUUCCUGCUGCAGGAUUUUGUCCUCCAAUUAUCUUCUAUGAAUUCAUUCCAGUUACACUACAUACUUCAAUCAGGAAAGAUCUCUACAUACUCACAACUAUCACCUAUGAGUGAGGGUAUUUUCCUGGACACCCAAACUUAAGUUUCACUCCAUUAAGUAUAUCUUUUUUUUUUCUACUAUGUGCUUCUCAAACACUCACUCAAAUGGCUUUUCAUAACUUUUCCUUUUCCUUUGCAGCAUUGUUCCUUGAGCCGGUAUGCCUCUUCGUUUCCGUAAGCACGAAUGGGUCGUGUUGCACUCUGUGGACACCGCUUGCUUUAGAUAGGCACAGCUGCCCAGCCGUUUCCUUCACUGGAGCACCCACCUGUACAGCCAUCAAAUGUCUAAGACAAGUCUUAGCGCUGGAACGCACUCCCAGGUCUUAAAUAAAAGGAGUUACUGUGAAUCACCCAUUCGAGUUGGAGUCUGGAUUGGAGGAUGGACAAAGCUUGCCUGGAAGGAAUGGAGGAUGAAAGUAUACAAAGAGAAUUGCAUUGUGCUUGUGCAAACACUGAAAAGAAGCAUGUUAAAGGGUGGAUGUUGACUUUUGUCAAAAUUCAUUGAUAGAGGAUGGUAAUCAGCCAUAAAACUUGCUGCUUUGUUUUAGUUCGGCUCUCUUUGCUAGACGGAAGUCAACUUCAUUGAUUUGACCUCAAUUACCUGCACAUGCAUGAGUAGUGAAGAGCAAACGACCACUAAAAUGGCAUUGACGUCUGGCGGGAGACCAAAGCGAAUGCACAAAGCAAAAUAUUCGGUGGAGGACAUUUUGCGUAUUAUUGCCGACUCGGACUCUGACUUGUCAGACUUCGAUUUUGAGGCAAGUGAUCUGAAGAUGGAGAUCGAAAAUGAAAGUGAGGAACCGGCUUCAGCUGAUCGGUCAUUCCCCAGCUGAUAGCAGUGCUGAACACGCUUGUGUAGCUGUUGCGCCUACAGCAACGUUCGUCUGGGAGGAUCACCACUUACGAUGACAAGAGGUACAAACCAGAUUGUGUCACACACUGCCAUACAAAGGCAGUCAGGCAGCCACCCACCACGCAUUCCUACCAGCCAUCGAGCAGCCCCCUACACAGCCACCAGAGACCCUGAAUAGGCACCGACAGCAGCCACAGCAAUAUAUGAAACCUUUGCUUUGUGUGCUUUUCAGAAAAGUGGGUUGCCUGCAAAAAAUAUUCAGCCCUCAAAGAGUUAAAGCAGUCUGCAUUUUUAUAGCUUAAACAUCGUCCCCCCCACUCUUGCCUUUCCAUCAAUCAAUGUCAACCUACUUCAUACCAACAAGAGUUAGGUCGUGUGUGAUGACCCUUAGUAAGCAAAUAUUUAUCAUUUUUUUGCUUACAGAGAUAAUUAAUUGUCUUAUCAGUAACUGCCUGUCCUUCACAAACCUCUACUGACUCCCUGUGAAAAUAUUUUAUAUGUAUGAUGUACUUAAUAAGUACCUAUAAAGAUAACAGAUUUGAAUACAACUUAAAUAGUUUCAUACAUGUUAUUUUCUUUAACAUACAUGAAGCCCAAUUCAUUACUUAUUGUUAAAUAACAGCAUACAGUGUGUUUUGCUAGUGAUAGGAUUUAAAAGUUCACAGUGCAGAAAAUAAUCCCUGAAGAGGCACAUACACAUUGAGCAUAUAUUCUUCCACACCCCAACCUGGAGUAAACGAUUGCAAAAAAUUAGUCAAUAGUUUCAUUAUAUUUACAAGUUGAGUAUGUAAUAAUAAUACAGGAUUUUUGGUUUGAAAAAUGUUGUUUAAUAUAAAUACAGUAAGACUGGCUGAUUAUUGUUCACCUCUCAGACCACUUUCCAAUACUCAUACGUUUUGUAAUUGUGUAUGGAAAACAUUCAGUACAACAACUUUUAGAAUAUAAAUUUAAAUAGUGUACAGCGGGUGACAUAACAUAAUUAGCAAAAUCCUCAUUUGAAAUUUGCAAAUAUUGCAGUCUUCUUUGAAAGGUGAUGAUUGUCUAGCAGAUCUUGUGUUUCCUCUUUCUGUUUUGAGGGUCUCUGCAUAAGGUCCAUUUGCUGAAACCUGCAUGUCUCCAUUUUUUUUAAGCCUUUGGUCCAUACAGGUUUAUCUCAAGCUCACUGCUUUCCUCCUUUAAUUGCCUUGCUGUGUAGGUACCCUGAUGGAGUAGGCACAGCUGGUAUGCUAAGCUGCUUCACGCACACUGUAAUGUUCAACUCAUCAUUUGUUAAUAUGGAGACAUAAAUGAGACAUUAUUUUGUUUGAAAUUAUUAGAAGUGGGUUCAUGUAAUGUGUGAGUGGGUGCCAUUAUGACAGGGUGGUGGCAGGUAACAGGCUGACACCAGAAGACAGACCCAGUUACCAUGUGUAGUCUGUUGAUAGAAGGGACGGCAAUAACAAUAAUGUUGACAUAAAUCUGCCAAGGGACAGUAUGACCUCCAAUUUUGUUUUGGUACCCUACCAGGACAGCAGACAGGGGAUUAAGCUUUUCAUGUUUCCACAGAACUCCAACUGGAUGGAGAGGUAGUUAGCCAAGAAGACAUUGCCGAGCUGUUUGACGCAAAGGUGGUUAUGAAAGUCCAGAAAGUAACUGACAGUAUUGUGUCGGUACAAAGUUAUCGAAUGGGACGUAUGCGUCCUGUUUCUUGUUAUGUGAAACAGGUCAGGUUUGGAAAGCGAAGAGUGCCUGAUUCUUUAAAGAAGCGUUGGGGUUCAGGGAUGCUGGGGCACUUGGGGCUACCAGAGAAAACACGGGAUGGGGUAGGGUGGAGGUUGCUGAUGUUUCCUGAUACCUAAAAAUAGCAAUUUUCGGACUACUGAAAAUGUGGCACCGGUAUUACUUUUGGGUUAUUGAGCUGUCACCUCUGGCCUUUGUGUUUCAGGAAUUUGAUUAGGAUGUGGGGAGGUGUUCUGGACAUAUCCAACUGGGAGGAGAUCUCAGGGCAGACACAAGACACACUGGAGAAAUGACAUCUCCUGGCUGGCCUGGGAAUGCUUCAGUAUACCCCCAGAGGUGUUGGAGAAGGUGGUGGUGGGGAAAAGGGACAUAUGGAAAUCUUUGCUUAUGAAUGGUACAAAAUGGUAAAUGAAUGGUAAAAAAAUUGAUGGUUAAAUAAUGGGUAUGAGUGCAGCACUUAUUAAGUAAACAGUGAUGUGCUGAAUUUUGAUUGAUACUCCUUGCUGCCUAUAGUCAUUUCAACAAAUCUUGGACUGUGUCUUCAUUUUCAGAAAUUUCCAGUAUGCGGAUGCCAGCCAAUCCAGACUUUCUCCAUCUCCGGGCUGGUGACCAUCAAAUGAGCUAUAAUCAUGUGACUGUAGUGACAUUCAACAGAUGAAGAUGGCAGGAGCCAGAAGAAACAUUUCCAAGGAAAGAUUACACUGUAAUACACAUGAUAUGUUGAAGUCCAUCAAUCUCAGUCCUGGAAAGUAUGUCUCGAUCAAAGCCACGACUCACUUGCUUGUCAAAGGAAAACAUCCUGAGGCAUCAGGAUUAAGAGCGAUGAAGACAGGAAGGUCUGUCACCAUAGAGAAAUAAGCUGAGAGUGCAGCACUUCUCUUUAUCCGAGUGUCAAGGGAUACAACUACAGAAUCAAUCAUCAAACUUUGACCCAAGGUAUUCUGUACACAGUAUGAUUUUAUGGACCAUAGGGCAUUAUGGGAACUGUCUCCAAAUACUGAAGAACAAUUGAAUGAGACUGAAAAGUGAGAAUUCCUUUUAUUCACUGAAAAUACACCAGAGGGGUCCUUUAAUCGGAUUUGCUGGCCCAGCGCUGCUUCAUCUGUGGAAUGGCCAAAUGGGGGAGGCAGCUUGAUGGCUGAGGUCUUCAGGACUCUAAACAAAUCCA